AAGUAGGGGAUCGUAAGACCUUGCGCUUUUGGAGCGGCCGAUGCCUGAUUAGCUAGUUGGUGGGGUAAGGGCCUACCAAGGCAACGAUCAGUAGUUGGUCUGAGAGGACGACCAGCCACACUGGGACUGAGACACGGCCCAGACUCCUACGGGAGGCAGCAGUGGGGAAUUUUGGACAAUGGGCGAAAGCCUGAUCCAGCAAUGCCGCGUGAGUGAAGAAGGCCUUCGGGUUGUAAAGCUCUUUCAGUCGAGAAGAAAAGGUUGUGACUAAUAAUCACAACUUAUGACGGUACCGACAGAAGAAGCACCGGCUAACUACGUGCCAGCAGCCGCGGUAAUACGUAGGGUGCGAGCGUUAAUCGGAAUUACUGGGCGUAAAGGGUGCGCAGGCGGCUUUGUAAGUCAGAUGUGAAAUCCCCGGGCUUAACCUGGGAAUUGCGUUUGAAACUACAAAGCUAGAGU
RNAcentral lists this ribosomal RNA (462 nucleotides) under uncultured ammonia-oxidizing beta proteobacterium. RNAcentral describes it as "bacterial SSU rRNA". It matches the Rfam family "Bacterial small subunit ribosomal RNA", at positions 202 to 647 of the family's 1533-position model. Lineage: Bacteria; Pseudomonadati; Pseudomonadota; Betaproteobacteria. The record is from RNAcentral.